AUGGUCAGCGCCUCCAGCCUGCUGCUGCUGCCGUCCUCCGUGCGGGACCUCGCCUCCUGCGUCGUCGCCGACGUCGCCGCCUGCACCACCCCCUCCUCCACCCUCACCUCCCCCGCCUCCCCCUCCACGCUCUCCGUCACCGUCUUCUACCGCGCCGCCGCGCUCCUGCCCGGGCAGAGCUCCCCCGCGCACCUGCGGCUCACCUGGACCCGCUCCCCGCUCGGCCCCACGCUCUCCUUCUCCCCCUCCGCCUCCAACCCCGCCGUGGUCCUCCGCAGGCGCAGGGGCACGCAGUCCGUCCCCGUCGACGACGCCGCACGGCCACAGCUCGUCGUGUUCUGGGACCUCACCGCCGCGCGCUACGACGCCUCCCCGGAGCCGCACUCCGGCUACUACUUCGUCGCCGUCGCCGGCGCCGACGUCGUGCUGGCCGUGGGCGACCUGGCGGCCGAGUUCGUCGAGGAGAGGUUCGAGGGCCGGAUCCCCAAGGCCGCGGCUUUGACCGUCCCGUUCGCGCGCAGGGAGCGCGUCGUUGCGCCGGACCCGGCGGCGAUGCACACCGCGCGGCGCGUCCGGUUCGCCGAGGGCGGCCCGGAUCACGAGGUAAGCGUAGGGUGCUCCGGCGGCGCGGAAGAAGAAGAGCUGUGGGUGAGCGUCGACGGGAAGCGCGCGGUGCAGGCGCGGCGGCCGCGGCUGAACUUCCGGGGGAACCAGACCGUGUUCGUGGACGGCGCGCCGGUGGACGUCAUGUGGGACCUGCACGGCUGGUGGUUCCGGGAGCCUCCGUACGGCAGCGCGGUGGUCAUGCUCCGGGCGCGCAGCGCGCUGGAGAGCCGGCUGUGGCUAGAGGAGGAGGAGGUCGCCACCGCCGCGCCGGGGUUCUCGCUCGUCCUCCAGGCCUUCAAGUCCCGCACUGAUGGGCGGCUAUCAUCUGCCCCUGCCCAUUGA
RNAcentral lists this ribosomal RNA (948 nucleotides) under Triticum aestivum (bread wheat). Its description in RNAcentral is "partial small subunit ribosomal RNA". Lineage: Eukaryota; Viridiplantae; Streptophyta; Magnoliopsida; Poales; Poaceae. The record is from RNAcentral.